UCAAAACAGUGACAAAACGGCAUCGGGUUUCCAGGAGAUACGCCAAUUUUUAGCUAUCGGAAUCUUCUACAAAAUCAUGUUUACUUUGAUUUUAGUGCUACGACGCGCACUAUCGGAUCUUAUCCAGAAUCGGUUGGCGCAACAGACCACCCGGUAGUAGGACAAAGAUUCGAUAGUAAGUAAUAUCGCUGAUCAUAUGGAGCCGUAUAUCAGUUGGGUGAUUGGUUGAUCCAUGGCUCUUUGCGAAGCCUACUGCCGACCUACCACGGGAUAUCAAAUUACCUUUUAAAAAUGAUUCUGAUAUUACACCAGACAAGCAAGCCCAGCCAGAUUUCAGCAACCACUGUACCACAAAUGGAUUGACGUCAGAAAGUAAUUGCAAGCGCACUUUGCACAAUCCGAAUCCACCAUUAGCAUUUGAUUCGGCGAGUACAUCAUGAAUGUCUCAUCACAAUGCGGUGUGGAGGAGUAAACCGGAUAGAGCGGUAAGUAGUAGUUAGCCGGUAAGCAGUUAGUAGAUUCGUCUUCAUUGUUGGUGCUUAGAUAUGCCAACUGAUUCUUCAUUGAGCUGUGCAUUCAUGUAUCCCGUCCAAAAAAUAGUAUGUGCGCGGUAUAUUCCUGGCUAAAACGAGUCCGGGUCGACCCGUAAGUGCAACAAAGCAUACGCGAGUGAGUUCGACGAUUUCGGUCUAAUCCAAGGGUCGUCCGUUAUCGUGCCGGGUCGACCCGAACUCGUUACAUCCACGGGUCGACGGGUCGAACUCGCGUGUGCUUUGCUACACCUACGUGUCGGUCCGGACUCGUUGCACCCAAGGGUCGAACUCAACUCCUCCGGGUCGAUCCGUGAAAAAAGUCGUAUGACCCAUCACUAUAAGAAUCCUGAUCCUAGUAGGCAGUGCGUUCAUAUGUUCAAAAAUCACGUUAAAGCGACCGCAUCGCUUACACGCGUACGGUAAACCGAGUUGUAUUUUAAAGUCAUGUUUGUUUGGUUUUAAAAGAUUCAUACUAAGUUGUCUUGUCAUUAUGGGGUUACAGUUUUUUUUACUAAAGAUGAGUCGUGUGAUUUCGUGUGUCGUCUUUGUGUCGAUGUUUUGAUAGUUAUUGAUAGAGUAGUUGGAAAAGGUAUUUUUUUAUUAAAUUCAGUAUGUUGGAGAUUCCUUCGUAAAUACUUUGGCUAGGAACUGAGCAUUUGUUGAAGAGUAAGCUAUACUUAGAAGUGCACUUUUCCGUUCUAAAGUUUUUGUUUUUUUUUAUUUACAAAUAUAUCACUCCUACCGUUGAAUAGCGUCUUCUAAAACCAAAGCUGAUAUUUGGCAGUUGUAAGUGUAUUGUUGAUUUUUGCAGAGGAUAGUUUAAUAUACCUGAGCCCUUUUUAACAUCCUUUACAUUGAUUGUUCAACAACGAUUGGGCAGCCGGUACGAAUACUUCGGAAGGGAAAUCCAAUGUUUGGUGUCUUCACAGGCUUUCGACGCUCCUUUUCAAUAAAGAAUCUUUCGACCAUUCCAUGUGGUAAGCAGUUGUUGAAAUAUGAUGUGUUCCACGCAACUUAAAUAAAUAACUCAUUUCCUAAGAUGGAGAUGGUAAUGCACCUACGAUGUCCAUAUGCACAUCCUCCAACGUACCUUUUGAGCUUGCUAUUGUAUCCAAGGGCGAGCAAGUAUGACGGUAGCCUCUCGAAGGUAGAUUUCUUUAGUGAAUUAAAGGACUUAAAAUCUGUUUAUCACAUGCCCACGUACACUGGUCUUUGGUCCUUCUCCGCCAGACUUGCUAUCACUCAUGUCUGUGUGGAUAGGGUCGUUACAGUUCCAACAUGUUUUUAUGAUUUGACACUAUUUUUUGAGUGUCCUAGCCUCGUGCAUUUCAUAUACCGCAUGGGACUAAUGUCCACUUUAACUGUGUAUGAUCCUAAAUCUACGCUUCUGCUGAUAUUGCCCGUGGUGAACGUGACAAUCGCCUAUCUAGUAUUUACCAGAUUGUCAUUUAUUAUGCCUUUAAUUAUUAGGACUUAGUAACUUUUUGGCUUUAUGGAGGUACAUCUCCAAAAUUUCUUCUUCUUCCUUAAAUUCGAUAUCGGGGUACGCAUCACAUCUUUCUGCGAGUUAAGUGCUGAGUGUUCCGAUACUUAAACCUGGAU
Long non-coding RNA from Anopheles stephensi (Asian malaria mosquito), 2135 nucleotides. RefSeq lists it as uncharacterized. The transcript is spliced from 3 exons. The record is from RefSeq and is a predicted model, not a curated record. Lineage: Eukaryota; Metazoa; Arthropoda; Insecta; Diptera; Culicidae.